Molecule: ribosomal RNA, 430 nt
Filed under: uncultured bacterium
Lineage: Bacteria
Description: bacterial SSU rRNA
Rfam family: Bacterial small subunit ribosomal RNA
Source: RNAcentral
GAGUUUGAUCAUGGCUCAGAAUCAACGCUGGCGGCGUGCCUAACACAUGCAAGUCGAACGCGAAAGUCCCGCAAGGGGCAAGUAGAGUGGCAAACGGGUGAGUAACGCGUGGGUGACCUGCCUUCGAGCGGGGGGAUAACGUCCCGAAAGGGACGCUAAUACCGCAUAACAUCCUGCCUUUGAAGAGGUGGAGAUCAAAGCUGGGGAUUCGCAAGAACCCGGCACUUGAAGAGGGGCCCGCGUCUGAUUAGCUAGUUGGUGAGGUAACGGCUCACCAAGGCUUCGAUCAGUAGCCGGCCUGAGAGGGCGGACGGCCACACUGGGACUGAGACACGGCCCAGACUCCUACGGGAGGCAGCAGUGGGGAAUUGUUCGCAAUGGGCGCAAGCCUGACGACGCAACGCCGCGUGGAGGAUGAAGACUUUCGGUC